Molecule: non-coding RNA, 23 nt
Filed under: Arabidopsis thaliana (thale cress)
Lineage: Eukaryota; Viridiplantae; Streptophyta; Magnoliopsida; Brassicales; Brassicaceae
Source: RNAcentral
UCGUGAUGGUAAUCUGCUUAUUU